Non-coding RNA from Paramuricea clavata, 611 nucleotides. Lineage: Eukaryota; Metazoa; Cnidaria; Anthozoa; Malacalcyonacea; Plexauridae. The record is from the annotation of a GenBank genome assembly.
AAGCCCAGUUUAAACGGAUGCAACAUUGUCCAACAUUGUUGGACCAACAAUGUUGGACGAUUGUUGGUCAACGUGUUCAAGCGGAUGCAACAAUCCAACAACUUUUAGCAGUUUAAUUAGUACAAAAUUCUGUUUGAUAAUAGGAACAGUGUGACCCGUGUGUUGAUUGGACAGUAUUUACUGUAUAUUAAUUAAAUAUACCAUAGAUUUUCAAUGUUAUUGACAAUGACAUUGUUUUCAUGUUUUCAAGAUGGCUGCUUUUGCUUGCUGCAUGUGUAGGCCUCUACAUUCUGUAUAUUUUAACAUUAUUAUAUGGAUUUUUACCUCAUCGUUAGUAUGAAUAAAGUUUUUUUUAAACUAUAAUACUAUAUCAGGUGAGAUUAUCGCAUAUUUCUUGUCAAAUUUAAAUAAUGUCAAUGGGAACGAUGACGUUGUACUGAUUUUUCGCCAAAUGUUGUACGAUGUUGGAUGAAAAGUAGUUGAACAAAAUCAAACUGGAUCCAACAUAGUGCAACAAUAUCCAACAUGGUGUUUAAACGGACCCAACAUGUUGGACACAACAAUGUUGGGUGAUGUUGGUCCAACAUGUUGCAUCCGUUUAAACAGGCCUU